UCGCCCACUUCCGGUAACGUCACGGUUCAUUUGCAUAUGAGGCGUGGUUUAGUUUGAUACACGGUUGCUGCUUGCUUUUUAUAUGAUUAAUUAACUAUUUUGUUUUGUUUGAGUGUUGCUAAUUAUACAAUCACAUUAUUUUGAAUUGUGUAUUGUGCAUUUCACUAAUUGGUUAUUGUAAUAAUUCUGUAGUAGUUUGCAUAAAGAGGUAAUUAUGCAUUUGUAGCAGUUUCAAAUAUAUCUCUUUUGUCCUGUCAAACUUAAAGGUGCAUGGUGUAACUUUUCUGCUGGAGGGUCCAUCAAAUGCUUUUCUCCAUGGAGAUGUUAUUGCUUUGUCUGGGAUGUUUCACAAUAUGGUAUUAAAACUUUUAUCUUUAUGGAGAUCAAACACAUUACAGAUCAGGAUCAGUAGAGAGGUGACCCUGUUCAGUUUUUUCUAGGUAUUUUUUGAGCUCUAAAACUACUUGUAAUUUAAUAAAUGUAAGGUAGAGCUGUUAAAUGUCAUACUGUGGAACAUUCCAGGCAAAGCAAUGAUAUGUCCAUAGAAACAAGCAGGUGAUGGAUACAACCACAACCAAAAAGUUAUAUGGUGCACCUUUAGCCAGGCCAGUGAAGUAAAUUAUUACCAUUUGGGUAUACAAAUAUGUAUGUCUAUCUGCCCAUAGAGACUUUUAUGGCAGACCUGUCUUGUUUGAGUUGUAGAUGGACCGUUGAACACAGCCUAAAGCCUUUAGCUUCAAGGAAGAUCUACAAACACUUGUAGAUUUUGAAGCUGCAGUGGGUGGAGCAGACAGACUUAAAACAGACUAAACACAGGUGAUGUGGUUAACACCCUAAGUUUAGUGAACUGAGAGAAACGUUGUUUUGGUGGCUGUUGUUUAUUACAUGAAAGCAAUAGGUAUAUGGCAUUUAGAGGAAAGAAUAAGGCACUACACAGAAAAAAACAGAAUAGAGUGCAACAUACAGGAUUAUUGUAUUGUACAGUCUAUACUGGUUAAAACAAAAUAAAACUGAAAAUUAUUAAAUAGCUUCCAGCAAUCUGCAUGCAUAAUAUAAAAAACAAAGACUGCUUUGCUCGAUCAGUUUACAUUGACAUACCUGCAGUGUUAUUGUUUCACAGCUCAUGAUCUCAGUUUCAGUGAUGGUUAUGCAUUUUCACAGCUUUCAUUUAUAAUCCGACACAUGCUUCCUCCAAAAGUUAAUGAUUGUGGAUUAACAGAAAGUGCUUAAAAGCUCCAGGAAAGGCUGAAAACAACUUAUCGCCUCAGGCUGCAGCUAUACAUGAACCUGCAUGCCAUGGGAUUAUAGUGGUCGCUUAUGGGUUUAUGUAACAGAAAUGUCCACAACACAUUACGCACAGGUUUCUCAUGUGUCUCCUUUGUGUUCAAGAAGAAAAGAACGCUGUGAAAGCCUUCAUGUAGAAAAAACACAGCACCUGCUUGAUAUUGUUGACUUUGGCUGAUUUUACUGAAGGUCAGAGGUCACUCAGACAGGGGCAACGCUCCUAUAACACUUUGUUUUUUAAGUCUGAAUAUGUGAGAAAGUUCAACACCUUUGUACAAAUAUUUUGGUCUGCUGCACCUGACUCUUCAUAACAUGCAGGCAAUACUAUGAUGAGCACACUGACCCCUAGUGGACCAAAUACAAACUAGUUUUUAUAGAGACCUGAUUUUGCUUUCAGGGUUUGGAAAAAAAACGUUUUAUACUGAUAAAACAGAAUUUACAUUUAUAUUUUAGAAUACAAAGAUAGUAUAAAUUGAACAUUGAUGUAGAGGUGCUCAUAUUAAGACAACAUAACAUUAUUCAUAAGUGUUAUAUACAGCAAAAGUUGGUAUUCACUUUGGUCAGCUAAGAAAAUGUACUGAUACAAGUCUCACCCACAGACUGCAUAAACAGUUUAUAUAUACAGUAUAUAUAUACAUUUAUGGUCUCACCAGAAGUCCAGAAUAGUGCUGUUUUUGUUGUUGUUGUUGUUGUUGUUGUUGUUGUUGUUUUCCUUUGUAAGAAUUAAAAGUGAAAUGUUCUGUUGAAGGGAAUCUGCUAUAAGAGUCAGUUGUUACAGCAGGAGGAUGGAUUUAGGAGCAGAUGGGAGCACCAACACUUUUGUCAUAACUGUUCAUUGUUUGUAUUCCUUUAAAAGGGCACCGUGUAGUGGUUGUGUUCGUCACAUUUGCUGUUCAAAGUCAAGGAUGUGAACUGUGUCAAUAGACUGUAUAUAUAAAUGGGUAUAGCUAACUCGCUAGGCACCGUGUUCCAAAUAGGAAGUGAGCGCACUUCCGGCUCCAUCGAGUUCGGCUCCAAUUUGUAUUGAGAAAACGUUGUCCCUCUCUCCACAACUGCUGCUGUCAGACUCAUCAUUUUGAUUUUAAAAUGUUUAUAUUAACCCACUCUAAAUGAUUCUGGUGGUUUUAUUUCACUAUUUUGUCCCUAAAUCAAGUCCGAUUCCUAAUAUCGAACUGUCUCCAAAUUUGUCUAUAUAACUGCAAGCCUUAAUAAGCUUCAUUUGACUGGAGCCGAACACAGUGUGUGACAUCACACUCACUUAGUCCACUUCUUUAUAUAGUCCAUGUCUGUGUCUUAAGUUAUUCAUAUCAGGGCUUCUUCACCUUUUCAAUGUUGGAGCCAGUGUCUGCUUGUAUUUUGUUGCCUACACACUCUGCUCUAUGUUGUCAGCAGACAGUGGUUGACCUGUCAGUGUAAUCGUAGCCACACCGUGAAUUAUGGCCAGUGCAGUCCCUGAACACUUCUUCUCUGAGUUUCUGUCAGGUUCUCUUCCGGUUGUUUCUCCCGCCCCUCCGUACAUGGCGCCGCCCCCUCCGCCCCGCUCCCUCCACACCCUUUUGAAGCUGUCCGUCACAAAGCAGUACACUACGGGGUCCAGGCAGCUGUUUAGACUGCUCAGAGUGACUGUGAUGUGAUAGGCCAGAAUAUGCCUCACUCCGUGCUCAGGUGACUCUGCCCCCACCUGAACCCGGAAGUAGACCAGUAUCUGACGGAUGUGGAAAGGCGUGAAGCAGACUGUGAAGACCACCAGGACAGUAGCCAGAAGUCUAAUAGCGCGUGUUCUUCUGGCUCGACUCUUCUGGGACAUGUGUCUGUGCCGGGAUGACAGGAAACAGGCUACGCGCAGAGUAAAUCCCACUACGGCCAACAGGGGGAGCAAGAACUCCAGGACAGUGAGGUAGAACAAGGCUGGGAGCAGUACACAGGAGGAGCUGGACCCAAGAGCUGAGUGUGACCACAUUCAAGAUGGCCAGAUUCUACAGAGGAACCAGUGGGAGCAUCCUUUCCAGCUGCACUGACCAUAAUAGGAGAGCCAUGCAAUGAUGCCCUGUGAGUGAUGCAAGCCACCUAUUACACAAUCUGUUCAGCCUCCUGCCCUUUGGCCUUUGGGAGUACAAGAGCCUUCGUUCCCACUCCACUGGACAGCUUCAUCCACCAGGCUGUUAGGAUGCUGAACUGUCUCUCCCAUCUACCCACCAGGCUGCCAGGAAGCUACGAAUCUGCAUCUCCACAAGAACAGAACUCCUCAAAGAAUGCCCCCCCCCCCAAAUGUCAUACAUAUUCUAGGCAAAGUAAUAACAUUUCUGUGUUUAUGCAACAUGUAUAGUACAGAAGCUUGAAAUACAUAUAGUCUGUACUCUUUGACGAUGUGUGCUUUAUGAUUUUUUUUACCAUUGUCUAUUGCUCCUUAUAGCAGGCUAAUAAAUGGAGCAGCCAA
Boleophthalmus pectinirostris (great blue-spotted mudskipper) is the source of this 3721-nucleotide long non-coding RNA. RefSeq lists it as uncharacterized. NCBI's taxonomy places the organism in Eukaryota, Metazoa, Chordata, Actinopteri, Gobiiformes, Gobiidae. The transcript is spliced from 2 exons. The record is from RefSeq and is a predicted model, not a curated record.